GGUUUGUGGCUUAGUGGUAGAGCGCUCACCUAGCAUGCAUGAGGCACUGGUUUCAAUCCCUGGCACCA
This 68-nucleotide transfer RNA is filed under the name Marmota monax (woodchuck). RNAcentral describes it as "tRNA.Ala". Lineage: Eukaryota; Metazoa; Chordata; Mammalia; Rodentia; Sciuridae. The record is from RNAcentral.